This 336-nucleotide unclassified non-coding RNA is filed under the name Hevea brasiliensis (rubber tree). The record is from RNAcentral. Lineage: Eukaryota; Viridiplantae; Streptophyta; Magnoliopsida; Malpighiales; Euphorbiaceae.
AAAAUUCACUGAUCUUCUGUACACAGUCAUAAUAUUAUUUCCAUUUCACUUGUUCAUUCUCUUCUCUUUUUGCAUCUCUUAGGAUGAUGUUGCGCCGUUGUAAUCAAUCCCUUUUACAUGCGUGUGUGUUUAUGGAAGUUAAAUUUGUAGACUGACUAUUGCUUUUGCGACUUUGCCUAAUUAGUUUGUACUUAGCCGAUCUCAAGUCCGGAUAAAAGGAGGGUUGCAGUAGGUGACAACAAACGUAAAAAUUUUGUUAUACCUCGUGAUAUGGAUUCUUAUGAUAUAAAUGUUGGGGCGUCCUUUACUUAUGACGCACUACAUCGGAGCCCGGGU